UAAUGGUGACGAAGAAUGGGUGAUAAAUUUUCCCAACGCCAGUGAAAAAUUAUGAAUAAGAACUCAAAAAUGAGGAAUAUGGGUUGACAAUUACAGAUGGUAAGUGUAGUGCCAGCACCAGCGGUUAAACUAACUCCUGCAUCCAAUCUUUUCGUAGGUGAGUAACAGUUUAAUUAAGGACAAUACAGAUUGCUGCCUUUGGUGCAAUAUGGCAGGUCGAGUGUGCUAUUGGUCUUAGAAACUUAAAUCUUAGAAGUCUAUUGAGGAGACCAGGAGUGGUUGCCUGUUAUUAAUGAUGUACAGAAAUCCUCCGGUAAGUACGAGCGGAAAACGAGCUUAAAAACCAAAAGGCUUGGCGGUGUGCUAUUUUCGUUCAGGGGAACUUGGCGGUUAAACCGAUAAUCCACGGAAUAUCUUACCUUUUCUAUUCUUGCUAUACCGCCGUUGCCAGUUGGUUACUCAAAUUUCUGGCUAAGAAAAUGAUUUAGCCUCUCUGCUUUGGCAGAAGGCUUAUCACUUCCAAAUUCAGGUAGACGUGGUGGUUUUGAAAAGGGCUUGUUGAGUUACAUUGUUAUAUUGUAGGGAAUGGAGAAUGGAAAUGCUCCAGGAACAAUCAUAUUUGGACUUGAUAGUAAGCUUUACGUGAUAAAGGAUCGCUGAAUAUUGACACUUGUGCGCGCACAAAUUGCCCGGCGCCCCCUAAUAUACCAAAAUAGGGGUAAGCCGUAACACGGUAAUGCUACUAGAAAGUGGUGUUAACUAAGU
This 765-nucleotide ribosomal RNA is filed under the name Scrobicularia plana. Its description in RNAcentral is "12S ribosomal RNA". The stretch from base 313 to 758 matches the Rfam family "Microsporidia small subunit ribosomal RNA", at positions 752 to 1303 of the family's 1311-position model. The record is from RNAcentral. Lineage: Eukaryota; Metazoa; Mollusca; Bivalvia; Cardiida; Scrobiculariidae.